UAGGGAAUUUUGCGCAAUGGGGGAAACCCUGACGCAGCGACGCCCCGUGAGUGAUGAAGGCUUUAGGGUUGUAAAGCUCUGUUCCUGGUGAACAAAAAAAUGAGGGUAACCAGGGAGAAAGAACCGGCUAACUUCGUGCCAGCAGCCGCGGUAAGACGAGGGGUUCAAGCGUUGUCCGGAAUUAUUGGGCGUAAAGCGGAUGUAGGUGGCUUUGUAAGUCAGGAGUGAAAGCCUCAGGCUUAACCUGAGAAGUGCUUUUGAUACUGCGGAGCUUGAGUAUGGAAGAGGGCAACGGAAUUCCUGGUGUAGUGGUGAAAUACGUAGAUAUCAGGAGGAACACCGGAGGCGAAGGCGGUUGCCUGGUCCAUUACUGACAUUGCAAUCCGAAAGCGUGGGGAGCAAACAGG
RNAcentral lists this ribosomal RNA (407 nucleotides) under uncultured Poribacteria bacterium. RNAcentral describes it as "bacterial SSU rRNA". It matches the Rfam family "Bacterial small subunit ribosomal RNA", at positions 355 to 776 of the family's 1533-position model. Lineage: Bacteria; Candidatus Poribacteria. The record is from RNAcentral.